ACGGAAGGCAGCAGUGGGGAAUAUUGGACAAUGGGGGAAACCCUGAUCCAGCGACGCCGCGUGAGUGAAGAAGUAUUUCGGUAUGUAAAGCUCUAUCAGCAGGGAAGAUAAUGACGGUACCUGACUAAGAAGCUCCGGCUAAAUACGUGCCAGCAGCCGCGGUAAUACGUAUGGAGCAAGCGUUAUCCGGAUUUACUGGGUGUAAAGGGUGCGUAGGUGGUAUGGCAAGUCAGAAGUGAAAACUAUGGGCUCAACCCAUAGACUGCUUUUGAAACUGUCAAACUAGAGUGCAGGAGAGGAAAGAAGAAUUCCUAGUGUAGCGGUGAAAUGCGUAGAUAUUAGGAGGAAUACCAGUGGCGAAGGCGUCUUUCUGGACUGUUACUGACACUGAGGCACGAAAGCGUGGGGAGCAAACAGGAUUAGAUACCCUGGUA
RNAcentral lists this ribosomal RNA (434 nucleotides) under uncultured Coprococcus sp. Its description in RNAcentral is "partial 16S ribosomal RNA". It matches the Rfam family "Bacterial small subunit ribosomal RNA", at positions 341 to 792 of the family's 1533-position model. Lineage: Bacteria; Bacillati; Bacillota; Clostridia; Lachnospirales; Lachnospiraceae. The record is from RNAcentral.